This 512-nucleotide ribosomal RNA is filed under the name uncultured bacterium. RNAcentral describes it as "partial 16S ribosomal RNA". It matches the Rfam family "Bacterial small subunit ribosomal RNA", at positions 28 to 507 of the family's 1533-position model. The record is from RNAcentral.
GACGAACGCUGGCGGCGUGCCUAAUACAUGCAAGUCGAGCGAGCGGACCUAACUGAUUUACUUCGGUAAUGACGUUAGGAAAUCGAUCGCCGGAUGGGUGAGUAACACUUGGGGAACCUUCCCCAUAGUCUGGUAUACCACUUGGCAACAGGUGCUAAUACCUGCUAAGAAAGCAGAUCGCAUGAUCAGCUGUUAAAAGUCGGCGUAAGCCUUCGCUAUGGGAUGGCCCCGCGGUGCAUUAGCUAGUUGGUAAGGUAAAGGCUUACCAAGGCGAUGAUGCAUAGCCGAGUUGAGAGACUGAUAGGCCACAUUGGGACUGAGACACGGCCCAAACGCCUGCGGGAGGCAGCAGUAGGGAAUCUUCCACAAUGGACGGAAGUAUGAUGGAGCAACGCCGCGUGAGUGAAGACGGUGUUCGGAUCGUAAAGCUCUGUUGUUGGUGAAGAAGGAUAGAGGUAGUAGCUGGACUGUAUUUGACGGUAAUCAACCAGAAAGUAACGGCUAACUACGUG